This 6595-nucleotide long non-coding RNA is filed under the name Gossypium barbadense (sea-island cotton). RNAcentral describes it as "long non-coding RNA (GBAR_LNC000732)". The record is from RNAcentral. Lineage: Eukaryota; Viridiplantae; Streptophyta; Magnoliopsida; Malvales; Malvaceae.
ACCAUGCAAGUUCAAGAUGAUCAAGUGACAUUCAAUGUAUUCAAGGCCAUGAGAUUUCCAUAUGCAAUUAAAAAAUGUUCCGCUAUGUCCAAGACAAAAACGUUGGUUUCUACAGUAUGGGAGCUUAACUCUGUAGAUGAUCCGUUGGAACGCAUUUUAGUAUCCAACCCACCAAAUAACAAUAAAGAUGAUAAAUAUUUGGCUUUGUUAAACGCCAAUUCGAGGGAAUUUUCUUCACAACCAAAUCAUUGGAGUUAGCAUCUAGUGAGUAUACAUAACCAAAUACGUCGAUCUAGGAACCACCUGAAUUGGAGUUAAAAGUACUUCCUUCUCAUUUGAAAUAUGCUUAUUUGGGUCCCUCUUCAACUUUUCCUGUCAUCAUUUCAGUUGACCUAACUAAAAAACAAGAAGAAAAGUUGGUUGAUAUGUUGAAUAAGUUUAAAAAAGCAAUCAAUUGGACUAUCGCUAAUAUUCGAGGUAUCAGUCCGUCUUUGUGUAUGCAUAAAAUCUUACUAGAAAAUUAUAAAAAGGCAUCGAUUGAUGACCAGAGUUAUAUAUUGAAAUGUUACAAAUGUUAUAUAAUUUUUUUUAACAACUAAAUAUAAAAUAUUAAAAUUGAUACAUAUAGCCUAAUGCACGGGAUAAAAAACUAGUGUAGCUAUAUUUUACGGUUUGUAAUGUAAUAUUUAAUAGGUUUGUUAACUGAAUUACAUGUUUUUAGAUUUAAAAGUUUUAUUAACAUGAUAACUCGUAAAUAUUUUCAACUUAUGUUCUUUUAGAUGCUACAAAUUUUAAACAAAAUUAUUUGUUUAAGAGUUAUAUAUUUAUAUAUAUAAUUAUAUUUAUAAUACUAACUGCCGCCAGAUGUGCGAACUCCUAAACUGGAAAUACUACAGCAAAUAAAUACACGAUUAAACAGCAGUGUCCGCAAGUAUACGGGUCAAAUGGUAAUAUAGAAUAACAUACAAUGAAACACUCCAGAAAGUAUUCCAAGGAUCGUACCCAAGGGAGGUUGAAUUAAAUUAAUUUUCUACACUAAUAGGGCAAAAUAAUACUAAUUUAAAAUUAUAUUACGAACAACCAAAUUAAAAUUGAUAAACCAAAUUAACAUAAAUUAUCUAAAAUGAAAAUAACUAGUUAACAAUCGAAAUUACUUCCAAUAAAACAAGCAAGAGAUUAACUCACUUCGAUGUUCCUAAUUAACUUUAGAACUCGAGUUUUAUUGAGUUAGCUAUUAAUUUGCCAGUUAUUACCUCUUGACCUCUAACUAAUUAACUAAUCAACCAAUACACGCUUACCUUUCGGCCUCACUUUCUUGACUAGGAUAAAUUAUGAUUUUCUCGGUAAACUUAUCUCUCGAUCUUGUUUAUCCUAAAUUACUUCCUAAGGUCAUCACUUUUUUGGGUUUAAUCGCACAUAAUUUAAACCAACUAACUCGAAUUUAAACCCUAAUUCAUUCGAUAAUUAGUCACACAUCUGUUUGUUAAUCUCCCUAAGGAAAUUAGUCACUGAUGGAUCUAAAUGCAAUAAUCCCUAAAUCCAUAUUUAACAUACAAAACAGUAAAUUAAAUAAAAGAAAGGAAUAAGAAAAUAAAUCCAUUUUGGUAUUGCAACGAUAACUCCGAUUGCAAUUGGAAUCCAAAAAGAAAUAAUGAAAAACUAUGAAACUGAAAGCUUGGAUCAAAAUCGAAUCCAAGUUAAACAAGAACAAAAACUGUUUUAAGGACUCAAUUGAAAGAAAAUGAAAACUAAAGUAAAAACCUAAAAUUAACUAAGUGACUCACUUGGCCAAGGCUCCCAAAAUGAGGCUAAACAUAUAUAUUUAUAGAGUUUAUGCUAUGACCAAAUUAGAGUUGCUUAACAACCCAAAAACCUAAUUACAUUUCAUUGUGUGGACUAAAAUACCUAUAAUUAAAUUUUCUAAUCGUCAUCCAAUGGGCUUAGAUUCUACAUAUAGUUUGAAGAUCUAUCUCUUAGCUUCAAAAAUCACUUUGAAUCACUUGAUUUCGAGUUCGAGAGCUCAAGUUAUGACUGUUUUAGUGAAUAUUGUGCGAGCAAAAUUUCUAGAAGGGAUUAUGACGAAAAUUACGAAUUUUGAGAUUUUAAUCCGAGUUUAAAUCAUAUUGGGUUCAGUUUUUAGGCUUAAUUUUUAUUAUAUAUGAGCCCAAUAUUGUAUUUUUUAGGUUUUAUUAUUUUGUUAUUUAAUUAUUCUGAAUUUUGGAUAUUGUUUAAGUAUUUCAAGUUGUUUAGAAGUUUUUGUUUCUUAGUCAAACAAAAAAAAUUAAUUUAAAACUAUUUCUUGUUUAGAUUAAUUGUUUAGAUUAAUUAGAAUUGCAGUAUACUUUAGAGUUUUAUUUGGAUGCGCUUAGCUAACCUAUAUAAAGACAUCUUCAUUGUUCAUUAAGCAGAUAAUUUUUUUUAUUAAUAAAGUUUUUAACUUUGGGAGUUAAUUUCUUUGUGCAAUAUUUUCUUCUUGAUUUUCUUUAAAGGGUCAUGGAGUCUUCACCCUUCAAUUUGCCAAGUAUUAUUUCUUGGAAGGUUGAUUAGAACCAUUAAUUGAGUUUAUUGAGAUUUAUAUCUCAAAGGGUUCAAUGGGAUAUUUAUCCUUCUAUCCAUCAUAUCCAUCGAUUUAUCAUUCCAUCUUCCACUUUAUUUUUUUUAAUUUCUAUUUCUUAUUUAUUUAUAAUUUUUAUUUGUUCUUUGUUCUCAAAUUUCUUAUGGGUUAAUUUGUUAAUUUGGAAAAAAAAUUAGAUGUUGACGUAAUCAUUGGACUCCAAACGUAGGACCUUUGGUUCGCUUAAUUCCUGGACAUUCUAAUAUGGAUAUGGAUUGCAUGCUAAGUGAUAUGGUCUCAGGGAAUGGUGAGUGGAAUAUUGACCUCUUUCAUCUUUGGCUACCAGAAGACAUAAUCAGAAGAAUUGCAGGGAUUUCGCCUCCCCACUCAACUGUAGGAGUUGAUAAGAUUAAAUUGGGGGGUAACUCGACAAGUUGCUUCUCAAACAAGGAUGCUUAUGGGAAAUUACGAGAAGGAACAUUGAAUCAGAAAGAAUCAAGAUGACACAUCCCUUGGAAAUUUCAAGGACCCCAACUGGUUAGGUUCUUCACCUGGCUUGUUCUUAAACACCGGUUACUGACUAAGGUAGAAAUGGUUCGUAGAGGCUUAGGACAUGACUCGACUUGUGAAGUCUGUGGGCAUGUUUCUGAAGAUGUUCUCUAUGUUCUUAGGGAUUGUACUACUGUAAGGAAUAUUUGGGACCUCCUAAUUCCAUAUGAUUAGCUAACUGGUUUUUCUUCAAGUAGUUUGCAAGAUUGACUUGUUCUUAAUUUGUAGGGUCAUCAAGAUUGGUACGUGGGAGAUGUAGAUUGGAAAUGCCUCUUCGGGAUUAUUGCGUGACACUUUUGGAAGAACCGUAACCUCUUUAUUUUUUAAGGGGCUACCUGUAAUGCUAACGAAAUCAUCAAGGUAUCAUUCAGUUAGGCAAGACAGUACAUCUCCCUCAACAAGGAAUCAUUGGUCAGGUCACUGGACGUGCUUACAUAUAGAUGGAUCUGUGAGAAAUGAAGGUGGUUUUGCUGCAACAAAGGGUAGAGCAAAAAACCGUGAAAGAGAGUGGAUCUUGGGUUUUAAUAGAUUUUUGGGGACAUGUUCCAUUUUUAUGUCGAAUUUUAGGGCAUCUUAGAAAGCUUGACUCUUCUUUGUGAACAUGGCUUUGGUAACAUUUUAAUUGAGACGGAUAAUCUUGAGGCAGUAAAAGCUAUUUAAGAGAGGACAACAAAUGGCUCUAAUUCUGUCUUGAUCGGAAGAAUUCAUCAGUUGUUGUUACGUUUUGAGCAAUGGAACGUUCGCCAUAUUCCCAAAGAAGACAAUCAGGAUGCUGAUAGAAUGGCUGAACUAACACAUCACAUAUCUUAUUAUUUGUGCUUGUAUGAGGUCUCUCCAUUAGGAGGAAUGAUUUAGAUUUUGUAAUUAAUUUAAGUACUCUUUUUUUAUCACCAAAAAAAAAUUGAGUGAUCAAAUUCAAACCUCUCAAAUAAUUUAAUGAUAAAUAACUUUAAUUGUAAUUUAACUAAAAAAUUUAUGUAAAUAUGAUAUAAUAGUAACCACUGAUAGCAUAGAAAUAAAUUGUUGACUACAUACCAUAUUUUUGUAAAAUAAAAUGUAAUUAUACUUUAAAUUUUAUAAUACGAUUCUUAUGGGUUAAUUUAUUAAUUUGUGUAUUUUAAAAUUAACUUUUUUUUAUAAAGAUGUUAAUUUAUAAUUAGUUUCCAUCAUAUAUAUAUAUUACACGUGUUAGUAAAAUUAUUAGUAAAAAUUUGCAUAAAUGAUUGAUAGCUAUUAACAAAUUUAAUAUUUUAAAGAUAAAUAAUUAUAAAUUAAUAAUAUAUGGUGUUUAACAUAUAGCAAAAGAUAAUAUUUUGUAAUCAAAUAAUAAUAAAGAGGUAAACACUUCAUAACUUAGUAAUAAAUAAUUUAUAACGCACAGGUAAAAAAAUAUUAUGGACAAAAAAAUUAAAAAAUAAAUAUAAUAUAAAACUGAAUAGCUAAUAAGAAUAUAGUAAUUAACUUUAUCAUUAUAAUUAUAAACAUAUAUAAUUUAUUGAUUAAGUAGAAAGUGUAUAUAUUUUUAUAAAUAUUACCUAAUUGAAAAUGAAUCCUAACUUAAUGUCUAAUUCUAAAUACAUUAUUUUAAUUAAUAAAAUAUUAUAAAUUCCACAUUUUAAAUAAUUCACGUAGAUAAAAAUUUUAAAAUAAAGAAAUAUUAAAUAUGUUUUUCUAUUAAUAUUAAAUUUUAAUUGUUAUGCCAUGUUUUGUUUAUAUUUUGGAUUUAAAUGUAUAGUUUUAUAUUAAUAUUAUAUAAUCAAAAUGACUUUUAAUUAUAUUUCAAUAAAAAAUAUUGAAUUAAAUUACAUACUAUCAUUUGAUAAUAUCUAGUACCACGGGAGAAUAAAAUAAAUACAUACAGAGAGAGAGAGAGAUCUCACCAGAAAUGGGGCACCAGGCAUCACGCCGUUUUAAAGGUGGUUUUGAAGAAUUAAGGCUUAAAAUCGAUUUGAAGGUGUUGAAUUCCAUGCAAAGCCUUUGUCAAAUCAAUAGCCUCUUGCUUCAAACCUCAUUUUCGCUCUCAGAUCGACCUUAGACUUUACCACCUUAUUAUAUAGGAACUUCAUUUCUUUCUUUCUCCUUUGUUUUUCUAUAUAUGUUUGCUAAAGCUAUCUCAAUACUGUAAAUUUUUCUACACAUUGCAACUAAUCUAUAUAUGUAAAGUCAACAGGUUUAUCCACGAAUUGGAGAAAAAGGACAACUAGUGAACUAUUUGACAAGUAAAUUAAGAAAACACACAACCUUAUAUCUAUAUGCACAAAUAGUAAGUGUUUCAAAGCUUUCUAGUUGGAUUUUCCUAUAGGAGAAGCAAAGUAGCAAUCAGCAAUGUCAAAUCAAGCUAAAAGUAAUUUGGGUUUUAUAUAUGUAUGGGUAUGCUUCAAGUUCAACCCUUGCUAACUUGUAAAUGAGGAAGAUGCAUGAGCUUCAUACCUUCAAAUGGCUUUAACCAUGGCGGAGAACCCAUCAUACAAGGGUUAAAGUGAUGGGUCAGAACCAUUCUAAAAUUUGUUAGUAGGAUGGUCCCUUUUUUUGGAUGUCUAGGGUAUAGACUUAUAGUUUGAUUUGCACGAUAUUAUUACAUCAGAAUCUGCCUAAAGCUUAAUCAAAUCCUGUUUACAGUCAUCAGAUUUUAACAACCAUGUAUCCUCAAUCAAAAGACUAGGACUUCAAAUCUAAAAUAAUUCAUUUCAUGAAUGCGCCAUAAGCUAUUAAUCUUUAUAGAAUUCACUUAAGAUGCCGAAAGGCAAAAUCAUGAACAAAAGACCUCAAGUUGAAGUAUACUGAAACCUCGUGGUUCCUUCCCUGAUUCAGAUGGUAAAUGGUAACAUUAAAGAUUACUAUUAGCAAGCUAGACUUUAGAGGUGCAUGAAAGGUGAGUACUUGAACCAAUCAUAUGGUAGUUUGACAUGUUUCCUUUAGUUGCUAACUUGCACCGCACCUUACAGUCAUCUAGCGAAGCAACCGUAGUAGCUAACGGAAAUCACAAGGUUAUUCACACCUACCAAUACCACGCAUGCCUAUUCUAAGUUCAAACAUAAAAAGAAAAAAGUACCUAGAUCAUUUAUGCAGGUUUCCAUAGGAAUAUGUGAAGAUCAAAAGGGUAACUAAGCAAAGAUGGAAUUGGAAUAGAUAUAUGGGUUCAGUAUGAGUAUGUUAUUUCAUCUAUGUGUUGAUUAAACCCUGUUAUAAAGAUGUGUUCAAGGUCGAACAGACAACGAAAGAAAGGAUUAACCCGCAAAAGGCUGCUCACUUGACAAGCAUGGCAUGGAAAUCACUCACCAGUUAGUGAUUGAAGAAAAUCUCCAAUUUGCUAGUUAACUCCGGGAAUCUCUCUCUGCAUAAAACAAUGGAAGAAAAAAAAUGGGAAAGAAAAGAAAAGGAAAAUAAGGAAGCAUGAAGCUGUGCAACUGCACCGAAAGGGAGUUUGAUAUGAUGUGUUAGAGCGUAAAGGUGAGCUUGAUUUAUAGAAAUGAACGAGAUAAGGUAACAAAG